RNAcentral lists this ribosomal RNA (440 nucleotides) under uncultured bacterium. RNAcentral's name for it is "partial 16S ribosomal RNA". It matches the Rfam family "Bacterial small subunit ribosomal RNA", at positions 338 to 795 of the family's 1533-position model. The record is from RNAcentral.
CCUACGGGAGGCAGCAGUGGGGAAUAUUGCACAAUGGGGGAAACCCUGAUGCAGCGACGCCGCGUGAAGGAAGAAGUAUUUCGGUAUGUAAACUUCUAUCAGCAGGGAAGAAAAUGACGGUACCUGACUAAGAAGCCCCGGCUAACUACGUGCCAGCAGCCGCGGUAAUACGUAGGGGGCAAGCGUUAUCCGGAUUUACUGGGUGUAAAGGGAGCGUAGGCGGUUUAGCAAGUCAGAAGUGAAAGCCGGGGGCUCAACUCCGGGACUGCUUUUGAAACUGUUGAGCUGGAUUGCAGGAGAGGUAAGUGGAAUUCCUAGUGUAGCGGUGAAAUGCGUAGAUAUUAGGAGGAACACCAGUGGCGAAGGCGGCUUACUGGACUGUAAAUGACGCUGAGGCUCGAAAGCGUGGGGAGCAAACAGGAUUAGAUACCCUUGUAGUC